Molecule: ribosomal RNA, 297 nt
Filed under: uncultured bacterium
Lineage: Bacteria
Description: partial 16S ribosomal RNA
Rfam family: Bacterial small subunit ribosomal RNA
Source: RNAcentral
UUUGCCUACGGGGGGCAGCAGUGAGGAAUAUUGGGCAAUGGAGGAAACUCUGACCCAGCCAUGCCGCGUGAGUGAAGAAGGUUUUCGAAUUGUAAAGCUCUUUCGGAUGUGAAGAUGAUGACGGUAACAUCUAAAGAAGCCCCGGCAAACUUCGUGCCAGCAGCCGCGGUAAUACGAAGGGGGCAAGCGUUGUUCGGAAUUACUGGGCGUAAAGGGUGUGUAGGCGGGAAAGGAAGAUAGUGGUGAAAUGCCUGAGCUCAACUUGGGAACUGCCAUUAUAACUAUUUUUCUAGGGUG